AGAGUUUGAUCAUGGCUCAGAACGAGCGCUGGCGGCAUGCCUAACACAUGCAAGUCGAACGAAGGCUUCGGCCUUAGUGGCGCACGGGUGCGUAACGCGUGGGAAUCUGCCCUUGGGUUCGGAAUAACAGUGAGAAAUUACUGCUAAUACCGGAUGAUGACUUCGGUCCAAAGAUUUAUCGCCCAAGGAUGAGCCCGCGUAAGAUUAGCUAGUUGGUGAGGUAAAGGCUCACCAAGGCGACGAUCUUUAGCUGGUCUGAGAGGAUGAUCAGCCACACUGGGACUGAGACACGGCCCAGACUCCUACGGGAGGCAGCAGUGGGGAAUAUUGGACAAUGGGCGAAAGCCUGAUCCAGCAAUGCCGCGUGAGUGAUGAAGGCCUUAGGGUUGUAAAGCUCUUUUACCAGGGAUGAUAAUGACAGUACCUGGAGAAUAAGCUCCGGCUAACUCCGUGCCAGCAGCCGCGGUAAUACGGGGGGAGCUAGCGUUGUUCGGAAUUACUGGGCGUAAAGCGCACGUAGGCGGCCAUUCAAGUCAGAGGUGAAAGCCCGGGGCUCAACCCCGGAACUGCCUUUGAAACUAGAUGGCUUGAAUCUUGGAGAGGCGAGUGGAAUUCCGAGUGUA
Molecule: ribosomal RNA, 623 nt
Filed under: uncultured bacterium
Lineage: Bacteria
Also listed under: 1 other name
Description: bacterial SSU rRNA
Rfam family: Bacterial small subunit ribosomal RNA
Source: RNAcentral